GACGAACGCUGGCGGCGUGCUUAACACAUGCAAGUCGAACGGAAAGGCCCCUUUGGGGGUACUCGAGUGGCGAACGGGUGAGUAACACGUGAGUAACCUGCCCUUGACUUCGGGAUAACUUCAGGAAAAUGGGGCAAAUACCGGAUAGGAAUCCUUGCUGCAUGGUGGGGGUUGGAAAGCUUCGGCGGUUUUGGAUGGAGUCGCGGCUUAACAGCUUGUUGGUGGGGUAGUGGCUUACCAAGGCUUUGACGGGUAGCCGGCCUGAGAGGGCGACCGGCCACAGUGGGACUGAGAGUCGGCCCAGACUCCGACGGGUGGCAGAAGUGGGGAAGAGUGCUCUAGGGGCGGGAGCCUGAUGCAGCAACGCCGCGGGCGGGAGAACGGUCUUCGGGUUGGGAUCCGAAAUCAGCAGGAGCGGGGCUUGUAGUGACGGUACCUGCAGAAGAAGCACCGGCUAACUACGUG
Molecule: ribosomal RNA, 465 nt
Filed under: uncultured bacterium
Lineage: Bacteria
Description: partial 16S ribosomal RNA
Rfam family: Bacterial small subunit ribosomal RNA
Source: RNAcentral